UCUGGCGGCAGUAGCGCGGUGGUCCCACCUGACCCCAUGCCGAACUCAGAAGUGAAACGCCGUAGCGCCGAUGGUAGUGUGGGGUCUCCCCAUGCGAGAGUAGGGAGUAGGGAACUGCCAG
RNAcentral lists this ribosomal RNA (121 nucleotides) under Escherichia coli. The record is from RNAcentral. Lineage: Bacteria; Pseudomonadati; Pseudomonadota; Gammaproteobacteria; Enterobacterales; Enterobacteriaceae.